This 369-nucleotide unclassified non-coding RNA is filed under the name soil metagenome. RNAcentral's name for it is "partial contains 5.8S ribosomal RNA, internal transcribed spacer 2, and large subunit ribosomal RNA". The stretch from base 1 to 120 matches the Rfam family "5.8S ribosomal RNA", at positions 35 to 154 of the family's 154-position model. The record is from RNAcentral.
GAUGAAGAACGCAGCGAAAUGCGAUAAGUAAUGUGAAUUGCAGAAUUCAGUGAAUCAUCGAAUCUUUGAACGCACAUUGCGCCCGCCAGUAUUCUGGCGGGCAUGCCUGUUCGAGCGUCAUUUCAACCCUCAAGCCCUGCUUGGUGUUGGGGAUCGGCGUUGCCUCCUCCGUCGUUCGCGGCGGGGUGAGGUCGCCGCCCCCGAAAUGAAUUGGCGGUCUCGUCGCAGCUUUCCUUUGCGUAGUAACAUACCACCUCGCGACCAGGAGCGCGGCGCGGCCACUGCCGUAAAACGCCCAACUUUUUCAAGAGUUGACCUCGAAUCAGGUAGGAAUACCCGCUGAACUUAAGCAUAUCAAUAAGCGGAGGA